AGUGAACGCUGGCGGUAGGCCUAACACAUGCAAGUCGAACGGCAGCACAGUAAGAGCUUGCUCUUACGGGUGGCGAGUGGCGGACGGGUGAGGAAUACAUCGGAAUCUACUUUUUCGUGGGGGAUAACGUAGGGAAACUUACGCUAAUACCGCAUACGUCCUACGGGUGAAAGCAGGGGAUCUUCGGACCUUGCGCGAUUGAAUGAGCCGAUGUCGGAUUAGCUAGUUGGCGGGGUAAAGGCCCACCAAGGCGACGAUCCGUAGCUGGUCUGAGAGGAUGAUCAGCCACACUGGAACUGAGACACGGUCCAGGCUCCUACGGGAGGCAGCAGUGGGGAAUAUUGGACAAUGGGCGCAAGCCUGAUCCAGCCAUACCGCGUGGGUGAAGAAGGCCUUCGGGUUGUAAAGCCCUUUUGUUGGGAAAGAAAAGCAGCAGGUUAAUACCCCGCUGUUCUGACGGUACCCAAAGAAUAAGCACCGGCUAACUUCGUG
RNAcentral lists this ribosomal RNA (492 nucleotides) under uncultured bacterium. RNAcentral's name for it is "partial 16S ribosomal RNA". It matches the Rfam family "Bacterial small subunit ribosomal RNA", at positions 29 to 507 of the family's 1533-position model. The record is from RNAcentral.